CCUACGGGAGGCAGCAGUGAGGAAUAUUGGUCAAUGGACGAGAGUCUGAACCAGCCAAGUAGCGUGAAGGAUGACUGCCCUAUGGGUUGUAAACUUCUUUUAUAAAGGAAUAAAACGAGGCACGUGUGCAUUUUUGCAUGUACUUUAUGAAUAAGGAUCGGCUAACUCCGUGCUAGCAGCCGCGGUAAUACGGAGGAUCCGAGCGUUAUCCGGAUUUAUUGGGUUUAAAGGGAGCGUAGGCGGGAUGGUAAGUGAGUUGUGAAAGUUUGGGGCUCAACCGUGAAAUUGCAAUGGAUACUGGGAGUCUUGAGUGCGCGGGAGGUAGGCGGAAUUCGUGGUGUAGCGGUGAAAUGCUGAGAUAUCACGAAGAACCCCGAUUGCGAAGGCAGCUUACUGAAGCGUGACUGACGUUGAUGCUCGAAAGCGUGGGUAUCGAACAGGAUUAGAUACCCGAGUAGUC
RNAcentral lists this ribosomal RNA (460 nucleotides) under uncultured bacterium. RNAcentral's name for it is "partial 16S ribosomal RNA". It matches the Rfam family "Bacterial small subunit ribosomal RNA", at positions 338 to 795 of the family's 1533-position model. The record is from RNAcentral.